CUCGGGCUCAUUUGCAUCCUGGGCAGCUGUCUCCACCAAGGCAUAAGACAGGCCUGGGAGGCACCUGCCCAGCCCAGGCCUUGGAAGCAGCAUCGGGGGUGUCUCCGCCAUGGUCUGGACCUCUCUUCUUCUCGGCCUCCUGGCUCACUGCACAGGCUCCGUGUCCUCCCAUGAGCUGACUCAGCCACUCUCUGUGUCAGUGGCCCUGGGAGAGACAGUCAGGAUCACCUGUGGGGGAAACAACAUUGGAAGCAAAGUUGCUCACUGGUACCAGCAGAAGCCAGGCCAGUCCCCUGUGCUGGUCAUGGCUGAUAGCAGCCGGCCCUCAGGGAUCCCUGAGAGGUUCUCAGGCUCCAACUCAGGGAGCACGGCCACCCUGACCAUCAGCGGAACCCAGGCUGUGGAUGAGGCCGACUAUUACUGUCAGGUGUGGGACAGCGACAUUGCUCACAGUGACACAGGCAGAUGGGGAAGUGAGACACAAACCUACCCGCCCAGCCUGGCUCCCCUGGCCCCACCAUCCCCACUUCCCUAGUGAGUGGGGCAUAACCUUCCAUGCAGAGGGAAGUUUCUAGUCCCACCUUGCCCUUAUGUUCUUGAGAGUUGGAGAGCAAGUCCCUGUCUGUCUUCAGGUUCAGCUUAUCCACUGAAAACUGAGCAGGCUAUUUUAAUGCUCAAACACCAGCUCCCAAGGACCACCAGAAACCCUGAUAGAUUGGCUGGGCCGGGUCCAUCGGCAGUAAGGGAGCAUGAACCUGGGAGUCAUUGCAGUGUCUCGGAGCGGGAGGGCAGUAGAAAGUUUGUAAGGUUUCGGGAUCUGUCCUUGAGUGGUUUUAGGCAGGUCUUAGAAGGAGGGAACUUACUAGAACGGGGUCACAUCUGUGAUGUCACAGCACAGGUUGGCGGACACAAGGAAGAGGAAGUCUUGAAUUGAUUCUUGCUUACUAAAUAUGUGUUGGGUAAAUGAACAAUUUGCCCAGGUGAGAAUUGUCUAUCUCGUGGAGCCACAGUUUAACUGGAUAAUUGGUUUUUAGCUUUACCUGUAGCAAUGAGUGAUAAUUCUUUACUGUUUGCACCAGUGUUUUUCAACCUUUUUUAUCUCAUGGCACACUUGAACCUAGAGUUAAACUUCCCCAGCACACUUAAAUUAUGUUGAUCAAAAAAGGGGGGGGUGUAAAAAAAAGAAUACGCUUACUGUGCUUUGAAGUUCUUUUGAAAAUAAUUGGAUUAAAGAUCCUUGAACAUU
Nycticebus coucang (slow loris) is the source of this 1246-nucleotide non-coding RNA. NCBI's taxonomy places the organism in Eukaryota, Metazoa, Chordata, Mammalia, Primates, Lorisidae. The record is from the annotation of a RefSeq genome assembly.